UACGUAGGUGGCAAGCGUUAUCCGGAAUUAUUGGGUGUAAAGCGCGCGUAGGCGGUUUUUAAGUCUGAUGUGAAAGCCCACGGCUCAACCGUGGAGGGUCAUUGGAAACUGGAAAACUUGAGUGCAGAAGAGGAAAGUGGAAUUCCAUGUGUAGCGGUGAAAUGCGCAGAGAUAUGGAGGAACACCAGUGGCGAAGGCGACUUUCUGGUCUGUAACUGACGCUGAUGUGCGAAAGCGUGGGGAUCAAACA
Molecule: ribosomal RNA, 250 nt
Filed under: uncultured Staphylococcus sp.
Lineage: Bacteria; Bacillati; Bacillota; Bacilli; Caryophanales; Staphylococcaceae
Description: partial 16S ribosomal RNA
Rfam family: Bacterial small subunit ribosomal RNA
Source: RNAcentral